This 253-nucleotide ribosomal RNA is filed under the name uncultured bacterium. Its description in RNAcentral is "partial 16S ribosomal RNA". It matches the Rfam family "Bacterial small subunit ribosomal RNA", at positions 524 to 776 of the family's 1533-position model. The record is from RNAcentral.
UACGGAGGGUGCAAGCGUUAUCCGGAUUUACUGGGUUUAAGGGGUGUGUAGGCGGACUUUUAAGUCAGCGGUGAAAUCUCCGGGCUCAACCCGGAAACUGCCAUUGAUACUAUUGGUCUUGAAUAUUGUGGAGGUGGGCGGAACGGGUCAUGUAGCGGUGAAAUGCUUAGAGAUGACCCGGAACACCGAUUGCGAAGGCAGCCCACUACGCAAUGAUUGACGCUGAGGCACGAAAGCGUGGGGAUCAAACAGG